UACGUAGGGGGCGAGCGUUGUCCGGAUUUAUUGGGCGUAAAGAGCUCGUAGGCGGUUUGGCAAGUCGGGUGUGAAAACUCCGGGCUCAACUCGGAGACGCCACUCGAUACUGCUAUGACUCGAGUCCGGUAGGGGAGUGCGGAAUUCCUGGUGUAGCGGUGAAAUGCGCAGAUAUCAGGAGGAACACCAGUGGCGAAGGCGACUACCUGGCCUGUUCUUGACGCUGAGGCGCGAAAGCUAGGGGAGCAAACGGG
This 254-nucleotide ribosomal RNA is filed under the name uncultured bacterium. Its description in RNAcentral is "partial 16S ribosomal RNA". It matches the Rfam family "Bacterial small subunit ribosomal RNA", at positions 524 to 776 of the family's 1533-position model. The record is from RNAcentral.